UGGGGAAUAUUGGACAAUGGGCGCAAGCCUGAUCCAGCCGUGCCGCGUGAGUGAUGAAGGUCUUAGGAUUGUAAAGCUCUUUCACCGGUGAAGAUAAUGACGGUAACCGGAGAAGAAGCCCCGGCUAACUUCGUGCCAGCAGCCGCGGUAAUACGAAGGGGGCUAGCGUUGUUCGGAAUUACUGGGCGUAAAGCGCACGUAGGCGGAUAUUUAAGUCAGGGGUGAAAUCCCAGAGCUCAACUCUGGAACUGCCUUUGAUACUGGGUAUCUUGAGUAUGGAAGAGGUGAGUGGAAUUCCGAGUGUAGAGGUGAAAUUCGUAGAUAUUCGGAGGAACACCAGUGGCGAAGGCGGCUCACUGGUCCAUUACUGACGCUGAGGUGCGAAAGCGUGGGGAGCAAACAGGAUUAGAUCACCCGUGGUAGUCCACCGCCGUAAACGAUGAACUGGUUAGCCGCCGGGCAGUAGUACUGUUCGGUGGCGCAGCAUAACGCAUUAAACAUUCCCGCCUGGGGAGUACGGUCGCAAGAUU
RNAcentral lists this ribosomal RNA (530 nucleotides) under uncultured bacterium. Its description in RNAcentral is "partial 16S ribosomal RNA". It matches the Rfam family "Bacterial small subunit ribosomal RNA", at positions 355 to 895 of the family's 1533-position model. The record is from RNAcentral.